UCCUACGGGGCGCAGCAGUGGGGAAUAUUGCACAAUGGGCGAAAGCCUGAUGCAGCAACGCCGCGUGAGGGAAGAAGGUACAGCGUAUCGUAAACCUCUUUUGUCAGGGAACAAAGGCGGGGACUAGUCCCCGGAUGAGGGUACCUGAAGAAAAAGCACCGGCUAACUCCGUGCCAGCAGCCGCGGUAAUACGGAGGAUGCGAGCGUUAUCCGGAUUUAUUGGGUUUAAAGGGUGCGCAGGCGGCCUGUUAAGUCAGCGGUAAAAGCCCGGGGCUCAACCCCGGCCCGCCGUUGAAACUGGCAGU
RNAcentral lists this ribosomal RNA (305 nucleotides) under uncultured bacterium. Its description in RNAcentral is "bacterial SSU rRNA". It matches the Rfam family "Bacterial small subunit ribosomal RNA", at positions 337 to 640 of the family's 1533-position model. The record is from RNAcentral.